Molecule: long non-coding RNA, 2107 nt
Organism: Manis pentadactyla (Chinese pangolin)
Lineage: Eukaryota; Metazoa; Chordata; Mammalia; Pholidota; Manidae
Exons: 2
Source: RefSeq, a predicted model, not a curated record
GCCGCAGGGGCUUUCCCCCAGGCCUGCCUGGGGGCUUCUUGCUCCGUGAUCUCUGCACGAGGCACUCUCCUGCCCCGCCCUCCCCGCCUACUGCUCGUGCCUUCCGCUGCACCCUCGUAGGCUCACGUGCUUAGCCUUUUCCUGGGUCGCUUUUGAUGAUCACUGAUUGAUUUUGGUGCUCACAUACCUCUUUUCAUCACAUCUAAGAGGCCAUUAUUUGUAAAGUCGUUGCUUUAUGAGCCACUAGGAAAGAAAAACACUGUCCAUUGAAUUGUGAGAUAGCGGUUUAUCAGUUAAUAUUUUUAUUUCUACCUAUUUAAAGAACUCUUUUAGACUUGAUUAGACUCCGAGUUUUCCACAUACCGCUCUUGUGCCUAGAUAAACAGGGAGAAUGGCUGUGAAGUACGUUGGCUAAGGUGCUCCUAGAACUUUCUCAGUUUACUUUCUGUGUCGGGGAUGUCUGUGCCUGUUUUCUUCAGCGUCAGCCUCUGGUGAAGCCGCAUUUCCUAAUAAACAUCCGUGAAGGUACCAAGAGCCUUUGGUUCUGGGCUCUUCUGUGGCAGCAUGGCAGCUGUGUGGUUUGCCAGCCUUUGACUUGCCUGGGAAGUUCUCCUGACUCCCCAGCUUGCCACCUAUCUCUGUCCCACCCGAUUGGUUUCUGGGUACUGGGAGUGCCCUCUCUUUGUUUCUGGGAUGUUCUCCCAAACCGCCGAUGAGCAUCCCGCAGCCUUUGCUGCUAGUGUGUUGUAUGUGUGAGCGUGUUCUGGCUAAUGGUGGGCGCGUCAUGGUCCCUGCCUCGCCCGUGGCAUCAUAAGAUGCCAUUUGUCAUGGGGUACACCCCAAAUUUCAUGUUAAACGGUGGGAAAAAAAGUGCACCUUAGAAUUGGUGAGCCAUGGUCUUUGUCUUUCUGUGUGUUGGAUUGCUCGCCUCCGUGAGGACUCACCUCCUGGCCGCCUGCCCGUGAUGAGUGAUAGUGGUAGCCCUUGCAGGAACAUGUGCGUCUGCUUCUGUUCACUUCCAGUUCCCAGAGUCCAUGCAAACAGAGGUGCUUCCUGUUUUCUGUUUUUGAGAGAUGGAUCUGACGGACCCGAACCCAUUCAGAAACAUUUAUGAGCAUUUUCUGUCUACAGGUUACCCUGCUGGGUGCUGGUAUCUGCAGAAGUGAGCCAGUACUCCCUUUCCCUUCACAGAGCUCAGGGUCACUGAACAAACCAACUAAAGAAAGACUUUUUUUUUAUUUUAAAGAGGAGUAAGUUGAAUAGGGACUGGAUAGAAGAUGAAAUUUGAGGAAUCAUUAUUAAUUUUAUUUGUGGCAGUAAUGGCAUUGGGUUGUGUUUUUUGAAAAUCCUGAUUGAUCAUAGAUGCAUUUAUGGACGGGGUGAUAUCAUGUCUGCUAGAAAAUUAUGAGGUAACAAGAUGGGCCAAAUUUGUUAUUGAAUUUGACUGAUGGGUACCUGGGCUUUGUCAUACUAUUUUAUUUUUGUAUAAUUUUGAAAAUUUCAUUGAAAUAAUUUAAAAAGAAGUUUAUAGAUGUAUAUAGCUUAAAUUAGCAAACCAGCUGAAAACUAACAUUUUUUAAAAAGCAACUGUAAUGCUUUGUGAUGGGGUCAGUAAAAGGUUUCUGCUCCCAGUUUCCGAUGUGUGAGUGUUGGGGAUUUUCCCUGUAGCACCAUGCCAAGCCCCCUCACCAGCUGCAUGUCCUACAGUUCAACCUGAUUUGGUACUGCCUGGAAUUGGCUUCAGAUCCCACGGGAUAAGGGCUCAGUCUCACGCGACUUCCCUGGGCUGCAGGUGCCAGCUGCUGGGCCAGCGUAACCUGAGCUUCUGACUGACUGGCUGAAAGUCACAGGCGCCUGGAGGGCAGAAGACAUGUCUUUGCGUUCGGCCUGUCAGCCAGACUCUCCCUCAUCCCCUGCAGUUUUGCUUGCUGUCAUAAAUGAUCCGUUAGGAGCUGUGGACGACCUGGGAAGUCAGAGUCAGAGGCCUUUAAUAAAUAUUAUAUUAUUGUUUCCCCAACAGGAUAUUACUGCAAAAGGCUCAUAUUUUACACUGUAUUUGUAAAUGAGAGAUUUUUGACAAAUAUAUGAUACUGCAUAUUUUCUGUAA